Non-coding RNA from Stygiomarasmius scandens, 104 nucleotides. Lineage: Eukaryota; Fungi; Basidiomycota; Agaricomycetes; Agaricales; Campanellaceae. The record is from the annotation of a GenBank genome assembly.
GCUUCCUUAGCUCAGUCGGUAGAGCGCGAGUCUCAUACGUUUCUUGUUGAGAACCCUUUAGGUUUAUAAUCUCGAGGUCGCAAGUUCGAGCCUUGCAGGGAGCA